UUGGCGGAUCCAGCGUGGUAGAGGCGACGUUGACUGGCGCCGAUGAAGUAGACGGGUAGCUAAGUGUAGGUGAAGAUUGUAGUGAAAUCCAGAGUUGAGAGGUCGUGGUUCAGGUCGGCUUCAAGCCGCCUUAAAUAGGGCUCAGCCCUGUAUUGCUGUCAAGCGGACCGUUUAUCAACCGUUGGUCUGUCAAACUCGGACAGGCCGAAGUCCCUUCAUCGUUCACGAUCGGUUAGUUUCUGACAGCCGUCUUGGCCGAGUCCUUCUUGGACGUGGUUACUCGCGUUCGUACGCGGUACCACAACAUUGCCUCCCCCUUUAGGGCUUGACGUCCGCGCAAGUCCGUUGUCGUACUGACUCCAGCUCUGCUGUCAUAUCGGGAGUGAAAUGAUCCGCUGGUUCCCAGCUGUUGUGCUCGUCGGUAUAUCCUUGCCACCGUACGAGGUAUUCCUCCACGUACGUCCGUUUUCCGACUUUGCGUNNNNNNNNNNNNNNNNNNNNNNNNNNNNNNNNNNNNNNNNNNNNNNNNNNAGAUUGUAGUGAAAUCCAGAGUUGAGAGGUCGUCGUUCAGGUCGGCUUCAAGCCGCCUUAAAUAGGGCUCAGCCCUGUAUUGCUGUCAAGCGGACCGGUUAUCAACCGUUGGUCUGUCAAACUCGGACAGGCCGAAGUCCCUUCAUCGUUCACGAUCGGUUAGUUUCUAACAGCCAUCUUGGCCGAGUCCUUCUUGGACGUGGUUACUCGCGUUCGUACGUGGUACCACACCGUUGCGGAGGUGGACGCACCGGAUGGCAGCGCGUGGGAAAGCGGGGCCGCCCCGUCGAUGACGACGAGUACGCGGAUAGGCUAGGCCCGGGUGGGAUGCAAAUCACAAAAGCGAUGCUGAAGCGUCGCCGGAAGGAGCAGAGGUGCUGGUGGUGUAACUCGGAGCAGCACUGGUCGGAGGAGUGCCCCCUGUGGCACGUCAACAACGGCGCCGGCGGUUCGGGCGCCGGGGCGGGAACCAAGGCGACCGCCUAGGAUGUUGCCCUAGAUGACGACUCAGCCCGCCGGCAGUCUAGGGAGAAGUCGGUAAACGUUUUUCGUGGUUUUAGGGUUUUGGGUUUUCGUAGCCGAUGAGUUGGCUACCCUGGCUACCCUGGACACGCAUCGGUAGGCCUUUCACCUUUGAUGCCCCGCCCGCUUGGACCCGCACCGCGGCCGGUGCCGCCUGCGCCACGGCCAGCAUUCGGAGCGUACCCGCCCCGACCGCGUCCAACCGCAGCGGCGUAGUUCAUGGGUGGAGCCUCUGGCUCCUGGUUGGCAGGAACGGGGAUAGCUGCGUUAGACUUUACGGCAUUCCGCCCGGAUGCGUUCUCGAGCAGCUGCUGGCGCUCCGCGCCAAGUGCAUGAGCAAGGAGCUGAGCAUAAGUCGUAUGCGGCUCCAAGGUUACCGGGUUGCAAGCAACUGCCUUGCGCAACGCGGGUAACAAUGCCAUGCAGAAGUGGAAACAUUUUGUGCUUUCGGGCAUAUCGGGCAGGUCCUGAACCAAGGACUGGUAUCGGCUCGCAAACGUGGCUACCGCCUCGUUGGGGCCUUGCUUGAACUGCCCGCUGGACAAUUGCUGUUGCGCUAGGUCCGCACGGGACUGUACCUCCGGGGCAAAGCGAGCAAGCAAUGCCAAGAACAACCCCUCUACUGUGUAGUUGGGGUUCGCGCGUGUCCAGACGACAUGCCAUGUCUUAGCUUCCGCUUCCAAAGCUCCGCUAAGGAACAGCUUUUGCAAGUUCGGAUUGUUCACCCAGCCAGCGGCUGCGAAGUAAAUGCGUGUGUCAGCAAUAAACGCAUGAACACGUUCCGCGUCAACUGGCUUCCCUACAGCAACGUGUAGUUUUGGUACCGGUAUCAUUGGUCGGAAACCACUGACCGCUGGGUCGACGGGUGCUCCAGCCGCUCCACCGGGAAUGGCGUCCACCGCCAUGGGUACUGGGCCGGGUGCCGCGACGGCGGGUACUGCAGGCGGUGCGAUCGGCGGAGCGGGGGCGGGUUGCCCCACCGGCGGCGCGCCGGCAGGCUGCACCGCGGGUUGACCCGCUGCCGCAGGUGCGCCUGCGGCCUGCUGCUGGGCUACGACGGCCGCGCAGAACUGCAGGAACGCGAGCAUGUUUGCCUGCUGCUGCGCCGGGUCCAUGGGUGGUGCGGCUGCGACAGCAGCCGGUGCAGGGCCAGCUGCCGCCGGCAGCAUCAUGGGACCGGCUGCGGCCGCUGGUGGCUGGGGCGGAGCAGCGCCCCCAGCCCCUGCCGGGGCAGCUGCGGCUGCUGGUGCCGGCGGUGGUGCUGCGGCCGCAACGCCAGCCCCGGCCGGGGCAGCGGCAGCUGCGGGUGGGGCUCCUGCCCCGAGCAUAGGGGCAGCAGCCCCAGCAGCAUUAGCUGCGCCACCGGCGGGUGGUUGCGCUCCUACAAAGAGAGGCGGAGCCGGAGGAAGGUAUCCCGCACCAGCGAGAGGCAUAGCAAGGGGCGCAUUGAGGCCUGGGGCAGGAGGCGCGCCCGCUGCGUACUGCAUCAGCAUGUUUUGCCAACCCGGCGGUGCGUUGCCUAACGGUGGAGGUUGCGCCAUCAGGGUAACUCUAGCGUGGCCGACAAGUCACGCGCUUCCCACUCUCACCAGAGUUGGUAUCCGAGUCCGUGAGACCUGACGAGGCCGUGUGCGACUCGUCGCUCACGUCAGGCCUGCGAAAGGUCCCGUACUGCAGCUCCAAGAUGCCCGGAGCGCGAGCCUGAAGCGCCGCUAGGCUGAUGUAUCCUAGGGGGUGGCUCUAAGGACUGCGCGGGGGGCCUCGGGUCUCGAUACCACUUGUAGUGGUAUCUACCCUUGGCGGAUCCAGCGUGGUAGAGGCGACAUUGACUGGCGCCGAUGAAGUAGACGGGUAGCUAAGUGUAGGUGAAGAUUGUAGUGAAAUCCAGAGUUUAGACGUCGUGGUUCAGGUCGGCUUCAAGCCGCCUUAAAUAGGGCUCAGCCCUGUAUUGCUGUCAAGCGGACCGGUUAUCAACCGUUGGUCUGUCAAACUCGGACAGGCCGAAGUCCCUUCAUCGUUCACGAUCGGUUAGUUUCUGACAGCCGUCUUGGCCGAGUCCUUCUUGGACGUG
This 3124-nucleotide long non-coding RNA is filed under the name Volvox carteri. RNAcentral's name for it is "long non-coding RNA (VCAR_LNC001380)". Lineage: Eukaryota; Viridiplantae; Chlorophyta; Chlorophyceae; Chlamydomonadales; Volvocaceae. The record is from RNAcentral.